Small nuclear RNA from Mustela putorius furo (domestic ferret), 107 nucleotides. The record is from Ensembl. Lineage: Eukaryota; Metazoa; Chordata; Mammalia; Carnivora; Mustelidae.
GUGCUUACAUUGGCAACACAUAUGCUAAAAUUGGAAUGAUACAGAGAAGAUUAGCAUGACCUCUAUACAAGGAUGAUACACAGAUUUCUGAAACAUUCCCUAUUUUU